UGUGAAUGUGUGCACAUGAAUACACACAUGUACACACACAUAUACAUGUACACGCAUACACACACA
RNAcentral lists this microRNA precursor (66 nucleotides) under Mus pahari (shrew mouse). Its description in RNAcentral is "miRNA (MGP_PahariEiJ_G0007149.1)". The record is from RNAcentral. Lineage: Eukaryota; Metazoa; Chordata; Mammalia; Rodentia; Muridae.